This is a non-coding RNA of Cinara cedri, 7742 nucleotides long. The record is from the annotation of a GenBank genome assembly. NCBI's taxonomy places the organism in Eukaryota, Metazoa, Arthropoda, Insecta, Hemiptera, Aphididae.
AAAAUUACCCAAAAAUGUUUGUCCAAAUUAAAUAUGCCGUUUCUCCGAAUCGGUGCCUGAAUCCCCUAAAAUAUUUCGGGAGCUUAAAGGGACCCCUAACCAUNAACACCUCGGCAUAUCGGUUUGAAAAUGGUGCUAUGUUAAAACGCAUAUGUUAAUCGGGGUCCAAAGUUGACCAUUUCCUGUGGGUUCCUUCACCGUGCGUUACUACCUACCGUUUACCACCGAAUGUUUAGCGAUGUUCCGGCUGGAAAAACUCUUAACGGAGUACACUGUCUAAAAGUAGACUUCACGAACCAUCUUUUGGUAAAAUAAAGGUUUUUCAAAUCUAUAAGCGUCUAUUCGUAAUCGGGGUCAAAAAAUAAUGUUUCGGUUGGUUACUGUGACGUUAUGCUAAUACUUAAAAAAUAUAUUUUUUGCGCCUCACAUCGAACAUUAUUGCACAUUUAUUGCUUAUCUAUUGUCUUCAAAUCAGUUUCACGCAUUUUAAGAACGAUUGGGCUCUUAUCAAAUAUUGCUAGUGGAACAUCCGUGUGUUUGAAUAAAAUUUGAUAUUAUUAUUAUAGUAUUUUUCAUGAAAUUAUGAAUUAUAGAAAUAUUAAAGAUGAUAUAAAAGAAAAUCUGACUAAGCUAAAUUAACUUAUAAAUUAUACGAUAGUAAAAAUCGACUGGGUCCUCUUCAGAGAAUAUUUAUAUACCUACAUUGUGGUAUUACGAUUUAUUGAUUUUUAGAACUGAAGAUGAGGAGCAGGAAUAUCAAGUAUUAAUGUAGUAGGUAAUAUUUUUAAAUGCACCUUUACCAAAUAAAUAAUUUACUUUAUUUUUUAUUUAAAAUUAUUAUGUAUAUUUUAUAUAAUAGUGGACUUCAAAGUUGUUAUCAGUUAAAUCAACUAUAGAAACACAUAAAAUAUAAGCAGAUAAAAAAAACAAAUAAGAAAUAAUUCCUACAUUAUUUUAAGUACCUACUCUAUAUCUGCUUGUAUAUGAAUCAAUUAUUAUUUUAAAUUAUGUAUAACACAUUUCCAAUGUCUACAAGUCUAUAGUGUAUAGGCACAUGUUUAGAUAUUAAAAAUUAAUUCGUUUUCAUAUUUUUAUAGGGAAAUUCCAAUAAAUGAACAGGACAAGAAUCUACAAGUGUUAGCAUUAAAAGUUGUAAUGAAGUAUCAAUUGACAUGUUUAAAAUGGAAAAAAUCAUAAAAGUGAAUGACAAAGAAGAAAAAAGUAAAUAUCAAUGUGGCAAGUAUCUUUUGAGUACGUAUUUUUCUCUCUUUUGUCUAAUCUCACCCCCUAAAUUUAUCCACACGCAAAAGAAAAAUAAGGUACAACAAAUUUUGGUUCAGUAUAUUUAUGUUAACUCAACUUUAAUUUAAAAUUUGGAUAUAUACUCAUAAUAAGGGCACGGAUGUUGUUUCAUUUGCAACUUUUUUUCCAUAUUUUCAAUUUAUUGCUAAGUAAGUUUCAAAUAUGUUUCAUGUAGUUGACACUCGACAAUCGUGUAGAUAAGAUUAUAAUAAAACAGGGAUGGGCAUCCCAAAUGUACUAGAGAACCAGUUUUUGAUAAUUAAAAUCUAUGCGAGCCAGAGCAUAGGAAAAAAAAAUCAUUCAAAAUAUAUAUGUAUUUAAAUUAGUAUUUAUUUAGCAUAAUUUGAAUUAACAGUAAAAACAAAACAAGGUUAUUGAAAAUAAUUAAAUUAAAUUAAAUAUAAAUAACACUAUUACUAUUUGUUCAAUGUGAGAUUUGUCACAGCUAAUGAUAACGCAGCAAAAUCGAUUACUAUUUCAGAAGNAUCUAUAAGCGUCUAUUCGUAAUCGGGGUCAAAAAAGAAUGUUUAGGUUGGUUACUGUGACGUUAUGCUACUACUUAAAAAAUAUAUUUUUUUUUCGCCUCACAUCGUACAUUAUUGCACAUUUAUUGCUUAUCUAUCGUCUUCAAAUCAGUUUCACGCAUUUUAAGAACAAUUGGGCUCUCUUAUCAAAUAUUGCUAGUGGAACAUCCGUGUGUUUGAAUAAAAUUUUAUAUUAUUAUUAUAGUAUUUUUCAUGAAAUUAUGAGUUAUAGAAAUAUUAAAGAUGAUAUAAAAGAAAAUCUAACCAAGAUUAACUUAUCAAUUUAAAUUAACUUAUACAUAAUGCGAUAGUAAAAAUCGACUGUGUCCUCUUCAGAGAUUAUUAAUAUACCUACGUUGUGGUAUUACGAUUUAUUGACUUUUAGAACUGAAGAUGAGGAGUAGGAAUAUCAGGUAUUAAUGUAGUGAGUAAUAUUUUUAAGUGCACAUUUAUCAAAUAAAUAAUUUACCUUAUUUUUUAUUUAAAAUUAUUCUGUAUAUUUUAUAUAAUAGUGGGCUCCAAAGUUGUUAUCAGUUAAAUCAACUAUAGAAACACAUAAAAUAUAAGCAAAUAAAAAAAAACAAAUAAGAAAUAAUUCCUACAUUAUUUCAAGUAUCUACAACAUACCUGCUUGUAUAUGAAUCAAUUAUUAGUUUUACAUUAUGUAUAACACAUUUGCAAUGUCUACAAGUCUCUAUAGUGUAUAGGCACAUGUUUAGAUAUUAAAAAUUAAUUUGUUUUCAUAUUUUAAUAGGGAAAUACCAAUAAAUGUACAUUACAAGAAUCUACAAGUGUUGGCAUUGAUAGUUGUAAUAAAGUAUCAACUGACAUGUUUGAAAUGGAAAAAUUCAUAAAAGUGAAUGACGAAGAAGAAAAAAGUAAAUAUCAUUGUGGCAAUUAUCUUUUGAGUACGUAUUUUUCUCUCUUUUGUCCAAUCUCACCGCCUAAAUUUAUCCACACGCAAAAGAAAAAUAAGGUACAACAAAUUUUGGUUCAGGAUAUUUAUGUUAACUCAACUUGAAUUUAAAAUUUGAAUACAAUCUCAUAAUAAGAGUACGGAUGUUGUUUCAUUUGCAACUUUUUUUCCAUCUUUUCAAUUUAUUGCUAACUAAGUUUCAAAUACGUUUCAUGUAGUCGACACUCGACAAUCGUGUAGAUAAGAUUAUACUAAAACAGGGAUGGGCAUCCCAAAUGUACUAAAGGGCCAGUUUUUGACAAUUAAAAUCUAUGCGAGCUAGAGCAUAGCAAAAAGAAAAAAAAAAUUAUUCAAAGUAUAUAUGUAUUUAAAUUAGUAUUUAUUUAGCAUAAUUUGAAUUAACAGUAAAUAUAAAGAAAGGUUAUUGAAAAUAAUUAAAUUAAAUAAAAUAAAAAUAACACUAUUACUACUUGUUCAAUGUGACAUUUGUGACUGCUAAUGAUAACGCAGCAAAAUCGAUUACUAUUUCAGAAGUGGAAACACAAAGUAGGUGACUUAAUGUUUCAUCAGUAAGACAAUUUUUUUGCUUUGAUUUUAUAUGUUUCAUAUUUGAAAAUGUACAUUCACAAAUGUAGGUAGUUCCAAAUAUGGAUAACAUUUUUAACGCAAACUCUCAUAAAAGAGGAUAUUUGUUAACAGGUAAUUUUUUUCAAAAGCUUACAUCAAUAUCUUUCGUGGAUAAUAAUGAGUCAGUUUGCAACUCGCAUAAUUCUGAUUGAAGUGCAGCAUCUUGCUUUUCAAUUUCAACUGCCAUUGGAUUAUUAAACAAAUUUAUUUGAGGACGCGUAAGUUCAACUUCUUCAAAUCGUCUUUCGAAUUCUACAGUUAAUUCAUGCCAGUGGGUAAUGCAAUUUUCAAAAUUGAACUCGUUAAAAUGUUGAGAAAUAUUAGUUAAAAAUGCCAAUUAACAUAGAAAUUGUUUAUCAAUCAUUUAGUUUUCUAAAUAAGUGGUUUCAGUUGUACUAUUCGUUUAGGAAACUCAAGUAUUUCUUUUCUCAAAACAAAAUAUCGUUCGAGACACUUUCCACUACUAAGUUUCUGUAAAUAUGUAAUAAAAUUACGAAUUGCACUAUCAGUGUCAGUUAUACCCGUGGUCUUCAAUCAGUGGGUCGCGACCCAUUUUUGGGUUUUCUUUUUAAAAUAAAAUUAAGUUUGAAAAUUAUUGUAAUAUAUUAUGUUAUAAACAAUAUUAUAUAAUUUAUAUUCAAAAAUAUAAUAAUAUAAUGGAUUUCAAAUCACAGUAUUUGUUUUGUAAACUGGUAUGUUUUUAUUUAGUAUGACAUUAAAAAUAAGAGUUAACCAGGCUAAUAAUAAAACAAAUAUAUUAUAUUAUUAUCGUUAGGAUGUUGUCGCUGUGUUUAAAGAUGAAUAAAUGUUAGUCGUGUUAUUGUUCUAAUCAUAUUUAUGUAUCCGUUAAAAAGUUUUUUUUAUUUUUAUUUAUUUAUUUAUAACAAUACUACUACAAAGUAUUAAGUAAUUUUAGAUGUUUUGUUUUUUUGUUUUUCUACAAACAUUUUUCUUUAUGUAUGCCUUUUAUAGGUCGCGAAUAAUGUAUGCUUAAAAAAGUGGGUUGCCAAUAAUGUUCGCCUAAAAAAGUGGGAUGUGAGUCCAAAAAGGUUGAAGACCAUUGAGCUAAAAGACAUGUCACUGUGCAUCUUGAAAGUGAUAUUUUUUUAAAUUCACUAGCAAUUUUGUUUUAAUUUAUUGUUUCAGUCAUUUUUAUUGCACAGUUUUUAACAAAUUCGUCAUCACUCAACGAGUUUUUAGAUUUUGCUAUUUCAUUAGAAAUAAUAUAUGAAGCUACUAAACUGGAUUGUUGUGAAGUUGUUGUUGUUGUUGUCAUCACAUUUUGUUAUAAUUGAAGUUUUCUUUUCCGAUCAAUUAUAACACUCUCUCUUGCAUAUCACCAAUGUAUUUUUCAUAUUUAGACAAAUAAUUUGUCAUGUAAUGUCUUUUUAAAUUAUAUUUUUUUAGUACUGCAAUAAUAUUUAAACAAACUAAACAUUGAGGGUUUUUUGUUAAUAAUAAAUAAAUAUUCAUUUUCUUAUAAUCUGUUGCAUAGGCCAAUUGCCCAUCCCUGUACUAUAAUAUUGCCAGCUAUAAAAUCUAGUAAUGGUAUCAUAUUCUUAUUUUGAUAAUUCCAAGUCGGUAGGUAUUCAAUACAAUACAAAAAUAAUUUGUGAAAUGUGACUGUUUGACUGUUAUAAUCUGUUUUUCAGUCACUCGAUGAAUUUUGAGUGAUUGUGUUCUGUUAUUAUGCUGAAAAUUAAGCUAACUAUUUCCAUUUUUGUAAAAAAAAUUGUUCCUUUUUAGGAAGGAAUCAAUUCCAAUAGUUUUUUGUCACUACAAUAUCCUUGCAGAUGAGUAUUAAAUAAUAAUAAAAAUUAAAAAUUUGUUUAGUAUAAGAAGAAAAACCUUAAGCCUGGUCCAAAAUAAAGUAACUCGGUGUUUUCAAGUAUUGCCAUUUGUUUUUGUUUUCUUGAAACAAACAUUAACAUUUAUAAACAUGCUGUUCACAUCUUAUCAACAAAUUUGGAUGUAUAUUGGAAAGUAGAAGAGACACUAUUACGAAAAUUGGGUAAGAUGAUCAACAUAAAUAAUCAUUAAUUUGUGAUAUACCUAUUGUCAGGUGUUUGUGAUUAAACUUAAUAAAACUAUUUUUUUUUGUUCACAGUCCAACAAGUAAUGAUGAAAUGUACAACUUAUAUAUUAUGUACUGAGUGGAAGCAGAGGUGAAUAGUCUACUGCUUACUGUUAAGUUUUCUAUGUAGGGACUUCUACAUGACAAAAUUGUAAUUAUUUUUAUCAAUUCACCACCUGAGUGGACAGUUUUCCAUUUAAUAGUGNAAAAAAUUAAAAAAAAAAAAAAAAAAAAAAAAAAAAAAACAUAGGAAGCUGAAUGAGAAAAUAUAAGAAUUGUAUAAAUAUCAUUAAAUCAUAUUAUCAUAAUGGUUCAACAUUGACAAAUUACCAACUGAAAUAAUAAUUAUAAAAUGAUUUUUUAUUUAUUUUGACAUACAAAUCCAAAACAAUAAAAUAUAUGUUUUUCCAGUUCAUUUGUUUGAAUUUAAUAUUUAUUUCUUAAAAGUUAAAUUCACUCUUGUAGGUAAACAUAAAUACAUAAUUACAAGUAUUAUUAAUACAAAUAUUGAUUAAACAUUUCACAUUAAAAUAAAAUAUGAUGUAUUGUAUAGGUAGGUAUAUUUAAUACUGAACAUUAAAUAGGAUAAUUAAUUGAUCAUUUUUUGUUUAAAUUUUAAAAUUCCCAAAACAAAUUUAAAACCAAAAUUAGCACCUAUAUCUUAAUUAUUUAAAUAUAGCCUAGAUAUUUUCUUUUCUUUAACCUAAUUUUUUUUACAGAAAACUAAUUUGAUGAGGGGGUUUAAAUUCAUGAACUACAAUAAAUAUCCAUUUUUGUUUAUUUAUCAAAACUUUAAAUAUUCUAUAGAAAUAAACAUUUGUUCAUUGUUCAAUUAUAUCAUAUAUGUAUUGAUUAAGUUAAAAUAAUGUGAGACCUUUAAUUACUAGCUCUGACCAACUAAAGAAUAUAACAAAAACAUGUUUAUUCAGACUGAUUAUAAUUAAUUUAGUUUUAGUUUUAAAGCACCUAAUUAUAAAACUAAAAGUGGAUAAUAUUCUGGAGAACACCUUGUUGCCAUCAUUUUAAACGUGAUGUACAUUAUUAUGAAAUGUUUUAAUAUUUUAAAAUUACUGUAAAUUUUUUAAAUGUUUAUUUUAUUUUAACCACAGUAUGGUGCCCUACUAAAUAUUAGUCUUCUUUUAGUUUUAUAGCAAGUGCUUUUAUUCUAAAACUAAAAUUAAACAAGGUUUACUCAGUCUGUAUUAUAAUAUUUUUGCUAUGUUGCUUAUUAAUUGGACUGAAAUAAUACAUAAGGGUAACAUAUCAUGUCCUUUUAAUAACUAGACAUAUUUAAUAUAACCUACCAUUUGAAGGAUUACUUUUAAAUUUUGAGAGUUUGAAACUCAUUUCUAAGUAUUAUUGUAUUAAUACUUGUACCAGUUGCAAAUCUGUCAUCAGUGGGAUAUUUUUAGAAAAUAUAAAAUAUUUUGAACAAAAAUAAUAAUGACUAGUAAAUUGUAUGUUGAGAUACUACACAUUGGUAUUAAGUACUUACCUAUAUUAAUAGUGUUGCAUGAUUUAUAAAUUAAUUGUGUAUAAUUAACAGUUAAUCAAAAUUGUUGAAAUUAAUUGUGUCAAGGUGUCAUAUAAGAAUAACUUAUAGAAAUUAAUAUAAAAAAUAAAUAUAUGUACUAAGGUAUCUUUUGGUGAUAGAAUUGUAUGAUCUUUAAUUAUUACUUUGUUUUGUAAAAUGGUAACUUUAAUAAUACCAAUUUGAUNCUACUACAUUUUUGAUAAGGAAUACCUAGGGAAUAAGGAAUUCAUACCAUCAAAUAUGUAGGUGUAGAAUAUGCACUAUAGUGUAAAUUCCAUGUAAAAUAGUGUACGUUUUAAUUACAUUUUAAAAAUGUACAAGUUAAUUAUAGGUAUUUAUCUACUUUGGAAUUGAUUUAUUUAUUUAACUGAGGAAACAAGAACAUUUCCUUUAUGUACUUAUGACUAAUGAUAUUUGAUGUACAUAAUAUUAUUUGUACACUAAAUAAAUGUGUAAAUAUAUCUGUCAAGUAUAUAUUGGUGUAUGAUUAAAAAAAAGGUAAAGCAGUUAAACUUCCACUUGAAAAUAAUAGUAUGCCAUUGUUGUCCACAUUGACUACUCAGUUUCCAUGAACGAAUGGCCUGAUAUUUCACACUGAAAAUAAAUGAUGGUGAGUUCCAUGUAUUUGACAUGUUAUUUAAAUUAAUACUGAACUGGGUUAUAAGUGCACUUUUCAAUGGAAGCACUUGCAUAUAAAAUCGCCAGUAAUGCUCUAGUAGGUAGUUUGUGGUCCUAUUUCAAUAGUAUUGCAAAUUAGGCACUCUC